This is a transfer RNA of Felis catus (domestic cat), 84 nucleotides long. It matches the Rfam family "tRNA". From Rfam's summary of the family: Transfer RNA (tRNA) molecules are approximately 80 nucleotides in length. Their secondary structure includes four short double-helical elements and three loops (D, anti-codon, and T loops). Further hydrogen bonds mediate the characteristic L-shaped molecular structure. tRNAs have two regions of fundamental functional importance: the anti-codon, which is responsible for specific mRNA codon recognition, and the 3' end, to which the tRNAs corresponding amino acid is attached (by aminoacyl-tRNA synthetases). tRNAs cope with the degeneracy of the genetic code in two manners: having more than one tRNA (with a specific anti-codon) for a particular amino acid; and 'wobble' base-pairing, i.e. permitting non-standard base-pairing at the 3rd anti-codon position. Lineage: Eukaryota; Metazoa; Chordata; Mammalia; Carnivora; Felidae. The record is from Rfam.
ACCUGGGUGGCUCAGUUGGUUGAGCGUCUGACGUCUGCUCAGGCUGUGAUUUCAUAGUCGUGGGUUCGAGCCCCGCCUCAGGCU